RNAcentral lists this ribosomal RNA (253 nucleotides) under uncultured bacterium. Its description in RNAcentral is "partial 16S ribosomal RNA". It matches the Rfam family "Bacterial small subunit ribosomal RNA", at positions 524 to 776 of the family's 1533-position model. The record is from RNAcentral.
UACGUAGGGUCCGAGCGUUGUCCGGAAUUAUUGGGCGUAAAGAGCUCGUAGGCGGUCUGUCGCGUCGGCUGUGAAAACACGGGGCUCAACUCCGUGCCUGCAGUCGAUACGGGCAGGCUAGAAUUCGGUAGGGGAGACUGGAAUUCCUGGUGUAGCGGUGAAAUGCGCAGAUAUCAGGAGGAACACCGGUGGCGAAGGCGGGUCUCUGGGCCGAUAUUGACGCUGAGGAGCGAAAGCGUGGGGAGCGAACAGG